AAGGCAAUGUUCUCAAAGGCG
RNAcentral lists this small nuclear RNA (21 nucleotides) under Arabidopsis thaliana (thale cress). Its description in RNAcentral is "snRNA_16158". The record is from RNAcentral. Lineage: Eukaryota; Viridiplantae; Streptophyta; Magnoliopsida; Brassicales; Brassicaceae.